This 371-nucleotide unclassified non-coding RNA is filed under the name soil metagenome. Its description in RNAcentral is "partial contains 5.8S ribosomal RNA, internal transcribed spacer 2, and large subunit ribosomal RNA". The stretch from base 1 to 120 matches the Rfam family "5.8S ribosomal RNA", at positions 35 to 154 of the family's 154-position model. The record is from RNAcentral.
GAUGAAGAACGCAGCUAAAUGCGAUAAGUAAUGUGAAUUGCAGAAUUCAGUGAAUCAUCGAAUCUUUGAACGCACAUUGCGCCCCCUGGAAUUCCGGGGGGCAUGCCUGUUCGAGCGUCUCAGGGACGAACCCUCGCGCGGGUGUACGCGCGGUCGUGGCUGCGGUGGCGUGCCCGAGGCGGCGGCCACCGCGCUGGAAUCCAUGGGCGGACGCCUGCCGCGUGGCCGAGCGUGAUAUGACGCAUUGGCGCUCGCACGCGGCGAGGCUGCCAGCCCUGGCCCGUCUGUCGGGCGGGGGAGAGCAAGACACGUGAACUCCUCGAAUCAGGUAGGGAUACCCGCUGAACUUAAGCAUAUCAAUAAGCGGAGGA